UGGGGAAUAUUGCACAAUGGGCGAAAGCCUGAUGCAGCAACGCCGCGUGAGCGAAGAAGGUCUUCGGAUCGUAAAGCUCUGUCCUUGGGGAAGAUAAUGACGGUACCCUUGGAGGAAGCCCCGGCUAACUACGUGCCAGCAGCCGCGGUAAUACGUAGGGGGCAAGCGUUAUCCGGAAUUAUUGGGCGUAAAGAGUGCGUAGGUGGUUACCUAAGCAGGGGGUGAAAGGCAAUGGCUCAACUAUUGUUAGCCCCCUGAACUGGGCUACUUGAGUGCAGGAGAGGAAAGCGGAAUUCCUAGUGUAGCGGUGAAAUGCGUAGAUAUCACGCAGAACGCCGAUUGCGAAGGCAGCUUACCGGCGCUCAACUGACGCUCAGGCACGAAAGUGCGGGUAUCGAACAGGAUUAGAUACCCUGGUAGU
This 421-nucleotide ribosomal RNA is filed under the name uncultured Anaerovorax sp. RNAcentral describes it as "bacterial SSU rRNA". It matches the Rfam family "Bacterial small subunit ribosomal RNA", at positions 355 to 794 of the family's 1533-position model. Lineage: Bacteria; Bacillati; Bacillota; Clostridia; Peptostreptococcales; Anaerovoracaceae. The record is from RNAcentral.